Loxodonta africana (African savanna elephant) is the source of this 106-nucleotide small nuclear RNA. The record is from Ensembl. Lineage: Eukaryota; Metazoa; Chordata; Mammalia; Proboscidea; Elephantidae.
GGGUUUCCUCGGCAGCACAUAUACUAAAAUUAGAACAAUACAGAGAAGAUUAGCACAGCCCCUAUGCAAGGAUGGCACACAAAUUUGUGAAGCGUUCCGUAUUUCC